ACAGCCCAUCUUUUUAAUUCAAAUAUUUACUUGCAUUGCUGUCAGGUGGAGAGACUGGGAACACCUUUGCCUACAAAGAAUCAGAGACAAGUAUCAGACAGAUGGCAAUGGAAAGGCACAUGGCAUAUGGGAGCUACUUUUGUUAAAAAGGAAGAAUACUGCCAAGGAACCGAUUCAAGCACAUAUCCAAGUGUCCCAGUUCCUUCAUCUCUGAUAUUAAAUUUGAAUGGAAUUGUAAAAUUUGGAUGAAGAAACUGAGGACUAGAGUCCUGGGUUCCAGUUCCUCUGACUAGCUGUCUGACUUCUAGAGAGUGACUUCAUCUUCCUGGACCCCAGUUUGUCCAUCAUCAAUAUCUGGCUGUUGGAUUCAGAUGAGGUACCUUGGGGUAGUGGAGACAGUACUGGGUUUGAAGAGGAAUUUCAUAGCUCUCUUGUGACCCUCGCUGUAUGACCUUAGGCAAAGUAUUUCAUCUCUAUACCCCUGUUUCCUCUUGGAUAAAAGGGCACUUCCAACUAUAUCUGUGCUCCUA
This 530-nucleotide long non-coding RNA is filed under the name Monodelphis domestica (gray short-tailed opossum). Its description in RNAcentral is "lncRNA (ENSMODG00000033593.2)". The record is from RNAcentral. Lineage: Eukaryota; Metazoa; Chordata; Mammalia; Didelphimorphia; Didelphidae.